UAAGUGACUAAGCGUACACGGUGGAUGCCUGGGCAGUCAGAGGCGAUGAAGGACGUACUAACUUGCGAUAAGCGCAGAUAAGGCAGUAAGAGCCGUUUGAGUCUGCGAUUUCCGAAUGGGGAAACCCAACUGCAUAAGCAGUUACUGUUAACUGAAUACAUAGGUUAACAGAGCAAACCGGGGGAACUGAAACAUCUAAGUACCCCGAGGAGAAGAAAUCAACCGAGAUUCCGGUAGUAGCGGCGAGCGAACCUGGAUUAGCCCUUAAGCACUCGGUGAAGUAGGUGAACAAGCUGGAAAGCUUGGCGAUACAGGGUGAUAGCCCCGUAACCGACGCUUCAUCGAGCGUGAAAUCGAGUAGGGCGGGACACGUGAUAUCCUGUCUGAAUAUGGGGGGACCAUCCUCCAAGGCUAAAUACUCCUGACUGACCGAUAGUGAACCAGUACCGUGAGGGAAAGGACGAAAAGAACCCCUGUGAGGGGAGUGAAAUAGAACCUGAAACCGUGUACGUACAAGCAGUAGGAGCACCUUCGUGGUGUGACUGCGUACCUUUUGUAUAAUGGGUCAGCGACUUAUAUUCAGUGGCAAGGUUAACCGUAUAGGGGAGCCGUAGCGAAAGCGAGUCUUAACUGGGCGCUCAGUCUCUGGAUAUAGACCCGAAACCGGGUGAUCUAGCCAUGGGCAGGUUGAAGGUUGAGUAACAUCAACUGGAGGACCGAACCGACUAAUGUUGAAAAAUUAGCGGAUGACUUGUGGCUAGGGGUGAAAGGCCAAUCAAACUCGGAGAUAGCUGGUUCUCCCCGAAAGCUAUUUAGGUAGCGCCUCGGACGAAUACUACUGGGGGUAGAGCACUGUUAAGGCUAGGGGGUCAUCCCGACUUACCAACCCUUUGCAAACUCCGAAUACCAGUAAGUACUAUCCGGGAGACACACGGCGGGUGCUAACGUCCGUCGUGGAGAGGGAAACAACCCAGACCGCCAGCUAAGGUCCCAAAGUAUUGCUAAGUGGGAAACGAUGUGGGAAGGCUCAGACAGCUAGGAUGUUGGCUUAGAAGCAGCCAUCAUUUAAAGAAAGCGUAAUAGCUCACUAGUCGAGUCGGCCUGCGCGGAAGAUGUAACGGGGCUAAGCAAUACACCGAAGCUGCGGCAAUAUCUUUUAGAUAUUGGGUAGGGGAGCGUUCUGUAAGCCGUUGAAGGUGAAUCGUAAGGUUUGCUGGAGGUAUCAGAAGUGCGAAUGCUGACAUGAGUAACGACAAAGGGGGUGAAAAACCUCCUCGCCGGAAGACCAAGGGUUCCUGUCCAACGUUAAUCGGGGCAGGGUGAGUCGACCCCUAAGGUGAGGCCGAAAGGCGUAAUCGAUGGGAAACGGGUUAAUAUUCCCGUACUUCUGACUAUUGCGAUGGGGGGACGGAGAAGGCUAGGUGGGCCAGGCGACGGUUGUCCUGGUUCAAGUGCGUAGGCUUGAGAGUUAGGUAAAUCCGGCUCUCUCUAAGGCUGAGACACGACGUCGAGCUGCUACGGCAGUGAAGUCAUUGAUGCCAUGCUUCCAGGAAAAGCCUCUAAGCUUCAGAUAGUCAGGAAUCGUACCCCAAACCGACACAGGUGGUCGGGUAGAGAAUACCAAGGCGCUUGAGAGAACUCGGGUGAAGGAACUAGGCAAAAUGGUACCGUAACUUCGGGAGAAGGUACGCUCUUGAUGGUGAAGUCCCUCGCGGAUGGAGCUGACGAGAGUCGCAGAUACCAGGUGGCUGCAACUGUUUAUUAAAAACACAGCACUGUGCAAAAUCGCAAGAUGACGUAUACGGUGUGACGCCUGCCCGGUGCCGGAAGGUUAAUUGAUGGGGUUAGCGCAAGCGAAGCUCUUGAUCGAAGCCCCGGUAAACGGCGGCCGUAACUAUAACGGUCCUAAGGUAGCGAAAUUCCUUGUCGGGUAAGUUCCGACCUGCACGAAUGGCGUAAUGAUGGCCACGCUGUCUCCACCCGAGACUCAGUGAAAUUGAAAUCGCUGUGAAGAUGCAGUGUACCCGCGGCUAGACGGAAAGACCCCGUGAACCUUUACUACAGCUUGGCACUGAACAUUGAACCUACAUGUGUAGGAUAGGUGGGAGGCUAUGAAGACGUGACGCCAGUUGCGUUGGAGCCGUCCUUGAAAUACCACCCUUGUAUGUUUGAUGUUCUAACUUAGACCCAUUAUCUGGGUUGAGGACAGUGCCUGGUGGGUAGUUUGACUGG
Molecule: ribosomal RNA, 2232 nt
Filed under: Vibrio cholerae HE-45
Lineage: Bacteria; Pseudomonadati; Pseudomonadota; Gammaproteobacteria; Vibrionales; Vibrionaceae
Description: bacterial LSU rRNA
Rfam family: Bacterial large subunit ribosomal RNA
Source: RNAcentral